Molecule: unclassified non-coding RNA, 540 nt
Filed under: Bombus terrestris (buff-tailed bumblebee)
Lineage: Eukaryota; Metazoa; Arthropoda; Insecta; Hymenoptera; Apidae
Description: misc RNA ENSBTSG00005021197.1
Source: RNAcentral
CGCGAAAAUUCUGCAGGAAUUUUAAUAACUCGGAUUCGUACUGAUUAAAACGGAGGUCGCAUCCGACAUUCCUCCGACCAGCCUACGGUUGCUACUUGGCAGCGGAGUCACGGCGUACAACGAAGGGACGAAUCGAUAAGACACCAGCGUGCAAACCACGUCCGGAACUGGUCACAUCAAGUUGAACGCUCUACUGUCCAUAAUUCCCCGCAAUUCAGCGUGAGAGGAACUCGCGGUAGGACCAAGCACCUAAAUGAAGCCGUGUGCUUCUAACGACAUGCACUCCGAGGAGGAAGGAAAGACGGGAUUCUGUUGGUAAAAGGGAUGCACCACGUACCGUCUGCGUUGCACUGCCACCGACCUCGAGAAUAUUUACUAAUUCCCGUUGCGUAGCGAGAUAACGUUGGAAGGAGAGCGGAGGAGAAGAGUCGGUUGUCGUAGGACGUCGAGCGGACUAGGAAAGAGAUGGCCAACGGUAGGUCCAGAAAACGGCAGAAGCGGAAGAAAAAGGCAAGGAAACGGAGGAAGACGAGAAAGAGG